AGAUUAAGUUAUUAAGGGCGCACGGUGGAUGCCUUGGCACUAGAAGCCGAUGAAGGACGUUACUAACGACGAUAUGCUUUGGGUAGCUGUAAGUAAGCGUUGAUCCAGAGAUUUCCGAAUGGGGGAACCCAGCAUGAGUUAUGUCAUGUUAUCGACAUGUGAAUUCAUAGCAUGUCAGAAGGCAGACCCGGAGAACUGAAACAUCUUAGUACCCGGAGGAAGAGAAAGAAAAAUCGAUUCCCUGAGUAGCGGCGAGCGAAACGGGAAGAGCCCAAACCAACAAGCUUGCUUGUUGGGGUUGUAGGACACUCUAUACGGAGUUACAAAAGAACAUGUUAGACGAAUCAUCUGGAAAGAUGAAUCAAAGAAGGUAAUAAUCCUGUAGUCGAAAACAUAUUCUCUCUUGAGUGGAUCCUGAGUACGACGGAGCACGUGAAAUUCCGUCGGAAUCUGGGAGGACCAUCUCCUAAGGCUAAAUACUCUCUAGUGACCGAUAGUGAACCAGUACCGUGAGGGAAAGGUGAAAAGUACCCCGGAAGGGGAGUGAAAGAGAACUUGAAACCGUGUGCUUACAAGUAGUCAGAGCCCGUUAAUGGGUGAUGGCGUGCCUUUUGUAGAAUGAACCGGCGAGUUACGAUCUGAUGCAAGGUUAAGCAGCAAAUGUGGAGCCGCAGCGAAAGCGAGUCUGAAUAGGGCGUUGAGUAUUUGGUCGUAGACCCGAAACCAGGUGAUCUACCCUUGGUCAGGUUGAAGUUCAGGUAACACUGAAUGGAGGACCGAACCGACUUACGUUGAAAAGUGAGCGGAUGAACUGAGGGUAGCGGAGAAAUUCCAAUCGAACUUGGAGAUAGCUGGUUCUCUCCGAAAUAGCUUUAGGGCUAGCCUCAAGUGAUGAUUAUUGGAGGUAGAGCACUGUUUGGACGAGGGGCCCCUCUCGGGUUACCGAAUUCAGACAAACUCCGAAUGCCAAUUAAUUUAACUUGGGAGUCAGAACAUGGGUGAUAAGGUCCGUGUUCGAAAGGGAAACAGCCCAGACCACCAGCUAAGGUCCCAAAAUAUAUGUUAAGUGGAAAAGGAUGUGGCGUUGCCCAGACAACUAGGAUGUUGGCUUAGAAGCAGCCAUCAUUUAAAGAGUGCGUAAUAGCUCACUAGUCGAGUGACACUGCGCCGAAAAUGUACCGGGGCUAAACAUAUUACCGAAGCUGUGGAUUGUCCUUUGGACAAUGGUAGGAGAGCGUUCUAAGGGCGUCGAAGCAUGAUCGCAAGGACAUGUGGAGCGCUUAGAAGUGAGAAUGCCGGUGUGAGUAGCGAAAGACGGGUGAGAAUCCCGUCCACCGAUUGACUAAGGUUUCCAGAGGAAGGCUCGUCCGCUCUGGGUUAGUCGGGUCCUAAGCUGAGGCCGACAGGCGUAGGCGAUGGAUAACAGGUUGAUAUUCCUGUACCACCUAGUAUCGUUUUAAUCGAUGGGGGGACGCAGUAGGAUAGGCGAAGCGUGCUGUUGGAGUGCACGUCCAAGCAGUAAGGCUGAGUGUUAGGCAAAUCCGGCACUCAUAAGGCUGAGCUGUGAUGGGGAGAGGAAAUUGUUUCCUCGAGUCGUUGAUUUCACACUGCCGAGAAAAGCCUCUAGAUAGAUAACAGGUGCCCGUACCGCAAACC
RNAcentral lists this ribosomal RNA (1656 nucleotides) under Listeria monocytogenes. Its description in RNAcentral is "partial 23S ribosomal RNA". It matches the Rfam family "Bacterial large subunit ribosomal RNA", at positions 1 to 1655 of the family's 2925-position model. Lineage: Bacteria; Bacillati; Bacillota; Bacilli; Caryophanales; Listeriaceae. The record is from RNAcentral.